AGGAUAAACGCUGGCGGCGUGCUUAAUACAUGCAAGUCGAGCGGCAGCAUGCACUUCGGUGUGAUGGCGAGCGGCGGACGGCUGAGUAACGCGUAGGAAUAUACCCCAAAGUGAGGGAUAACUGCCCGAAAGGGUAGCUAAUACCGCAUGUGGUCUUCGGAUUAAAGCUUUAUGCGCUUUGGGAAUGGCCUGCGUACGAUUAGCUUGUUGGUGAGGUAAUAGCUCACCAAGGCGAUGAUCGUUA
This 244-nucleotide ribosomal RNA is filed under the name uncultured bacterium. RNAcentral describes it as "partial small subunit ribosomal RNA". It matches the Rfam family "Bacterial small subunit ribosomal RNA", at positions 26 to 285 of the family's 1533-position model. The record is from RNAcentral.